UUUGAUGGCGACCGGCGCACGGGUGAGUAACACGUAUCCAACCUGCCGAUGACUCGGGGAUAGCCUUUCGAAGGAAAGAUUAAUACCCGAUGGCAUAGUUCUUCCGCAUGGUAGAACUAUUAAAGAAUUUCGGUCAUCGAUGGGGAUGCGUUCCAUUAGGUUGUUGGCGGGGUAACGGCCCACCAAGCCUUCGAUGGAUAGGGGUUCUGAGAGGAAGGUCCCCCACAUUGGAACUGAGACACGGUCCAA
Molecule: ribosomal RNA, 249 nt
Filed under: uncultured bacterium
Lineage: Bacteria
Description: partial 16S ribosomal RNA
Rfam family: Bacterial small subunit ribosomal RNA
Source: RNAcentral